AGUGGGGAAUAUUGCACAAUGGGCGCAAGCCUGAUGCAGCCAUGCCGCGUGUAUGAAGAAGGCCUUCGGGUUGUAAAGUACUUUCAGCGAGGAGGAAAGGGGGCAAGUUAAUACCUUGUCUCUGUGACGUUACUCGCAGAAGAAGCACCGGCUAACUCCGUGCCAGCAGCCGCGGUAAUACGGAGGGUGCGAGCGUUAAUCGGAAUUACUGGGCGUAAAGCGCAUGCAGGCGGUUUGUUAAGCGAGAUGUGAAAGCCCCGGGCUCAACCUGGGAACUGCAUUUCGAACUGGCAAACUAGAGUCUUGUAGAGGGAGGUAGAAUUUCAGGUGUAGCGGUGAAAUGCGUAGAGAUCUGAAGGAAUACCAGUGGCGAAGGCGGCCUCCUGGACAAAGACUGACGCUCAGAUGCGAAAGCGUGGGGAGCAAA
RNAcentral lists this ribosomal RNA (427 nucleotides) under uncultured Ferrimonas sp. Its description in RNAcentral is "bacterial SSU rRNA". It matches the Rfam family "Bacterial small subunit ribosomal RNA", at positions 353 to 772 of the family's 1533-position model. Lineage: Bacteria; Pseudomonadati; Pseudomonadota; Gammaproteobacteria; Alteromonadales; Ferrimonadaceae. The record is from RNAcentral.